Molecule: ribosomal RNA, 206 nt
Filed under: uncultured bacterium
Lineage: Bacteria
Description: partial 16S ribosomal RNA
Rfam family: Bacterial small subunit ribosomal RNA
Source: RNAcentral
CGUGUAGGCGGUACCAUAAGUCAGAUGUGAAAGCCCUAGGCUUAACCUAGGAGGUGCAUUUGAUACUGUGGAACUAGAGAUCGAGAGAGGUAAGUGGAAUUACGAGUGUAGAGGUGAAAUUCGUAGAUAUUCGUAAGAACACCAGUGGCGAAGGCGACUUACUGGCUCGAUACUGACGCUAAGGCGCGAAAGCGUGGGAGCAAACA